CUACAGUUCUGUAAAAAAUGUUUCCAAAAAGGAAACUGUGUCUCCAAUAGUCGUUGAAGGUGAGACCAUCUACAGCAGUGUAGUUUGCCAGUAAGAGUGACUGAUGUACUGUUUGGCUGGAAGGAAACUGUGGGUGGUGCCUCAGGGAUCUCUACUGGGUUCUUUACGUUGUUAUUGUUUUUUUUUUUGUUUGUUUAUUUAUUUUAGCUCUCCACUAUUAAUUAUCUUGCCUUUUCAUACUCAGUAUACAGUUCACAACAAGAUUUCAAUUAUUUAACUCAAUAACCUCUGUAUUCUUUCCUUACAAAACAAAUUUCAACAAGGGGCAAAAGAUCAAAAUGAAACAUUAUGGUGACAUUAAACUUCACUUAA
Molecule: long non-coding RNA, 372 nt
Organism: Silurus meridionalis
Lineage: Eukaryota; Metazoa; Chordata; Actinopteri; Siluriformes; Siluridae
Exons: 3
Source: RefSeq, a predicted model, not a curated record